RNAcentral lists this ribosomal RNA (301 nucleotides) under uncultured bacterium. RNAcentral describes it as "partial 16S ribosomal RNA". It matches the Rfam family "Bacterial small subunit ribosomal RNA", at positions 509 to 807 of the family's 1533-position model. The record is from RNAcentral.
CAGUAGCCACGGGAAUACAGAGGGUGCGAGCGUUAAUCGGAUUUACUGGGCGUAAAGCGUGCGUAGGUGGUUCGCCAAGUUGGAUGUGAAAUCCCCGGGCUCAACCUGGGAACUGCAUCCAAAACUGGCGAGCUAGAGUAUGGUAGAGGGUGGUGGAAUUUCCUGUGUAGCGGUGAAAUGCGUAGAUAUAGGAAGGAACAUCAGUGGCGAAGGCGACCACCUGGACUGAUACUGACACUGAGGUGCGAAAGCGUGGGGAGCAAACAGGAUUAGAUACCCCGGUAGUCCCUGUCUCUUAUAC